Molecule: non-coding RNA, 29 nt
Filed under: Rattus norvegicus (Norway rat)
Lineage: Eukaryota; Metazoa; Chordata; Mammalia; Rodentia; Muridae
Source: RNAcentral
UAGUGCCAAAUUGUUAUCUGAAUAAUAUU